UUUUAAAUACACAUCGUGUAAUUCUCUUUGUUUGAUGUUUAGUUUGACAUUAAACUUCAAAUGCGACUGCUACUACCCAUCUUGAAACCUCUUUUGAGAAAUUGUUCACUAUUUGCCAAAGUGCUGCUUAUGUGUGUGUUAAGUGAGUUGAAUUGAGUUGACUGCCAACAUAAAGUUUGAGGUCACAAAUCAAAGCAAAACAAAACGGCCAAAUGACGACUCGUAUCUCGGUCACUUACAGUCGGGUCACUGGUAUCUCAAGGCACCACUGUAUAAGUUUACGUUUUAAAACCUUCAAACUUCUGUGAAAAAAGUCAUCAAAGAUGCAAAAUUGUGCUCAAGCUUUCAGCGUGAUUUAAUGAGCUAAUAAUAAAAACUCUGGGCCUUCCGUACACUGAGCUCGUUUCAGAUUCAACUGACCUCCAUUGGGUCCAACAAGUGAGUCACAGAAGCUGGCAGGGCGUCUGAAUGCCUAAACGCAUUCAAGUGGAGGAGGGGGAGGAGGCCGGACGCGAUCGCACCAGAACCUCCAGCGAUCCCUGGCAUCCAGGGCUCAACGUGUGCGUGUGUGUAUACAUGCAGAUGGUCUUUGCAGGAAUGUACCCAAACCACAGCACCCCCGCCCCCUCCUCCUACUCGGGUAUCAUGCAUCCUGUCAUAAAACAUAUAAAUAAAAUGAUCCUGAUUAACGAAAGUGCAACUUGAACUCAGAGUCAGGAAGCUGAAAAUAGACCUACACCCAUCCUCUUAUUCUAGACGUGUGCACAUAUUUAUCCUCUUUCGAAUGGACAACCCCUGAGGAGAUUUACACACCCUGAUGUCAAUUCAUCAUGCACCCAUCUUUUGUUCGUGGAAAUACGAACCCAGGAGAAAAACACAGCAUUCCUGUUGGUGAUGUAUUGCUUGAGUCGUUCUACAGAGGGAGGAGCAGCUAGCGGCUCAACUUUCAAGCCAAAGGAGCUUGACACCUCACCAGCCCACCCCUUCCUCCUCAUCCAACAAUGGCAGCAGCAGGCAUUAUCGCGGCACUCACGCUGGCAGUGACCCCAAGAUCGGCGUGUCCAUCCCCAGCAGCAGUCCACCCUGG
Phyllopteryx taeniolatus (common seadragon) is the source of this 1087-nucleotide long non-coding RNA. RefSeq lists it as uncharacterized. The record is from RefSeq and is a predicted model, not a curated record. The transcript has 3 exons. NCBI's taxonomy places the organism in Eukaryota, Metazoa, Chordata, Actinopteri, Syngnathiformes, Syngnathidae.